CCUACGGGGCGCAGCAGUGGGGAAUAUUGGACAAUGGGCGAAAGCCUGAUCCAGCCAUGCCGCGUGUGUGAAGAAGGCCUUCGGGUUGUAAAGCACUUUCAGUGGGGAAGAAAGCCUUGGGGCUAAUACCCUCGAGGAAGGACAUCACCCACAGAAGAAGCACCGGCUAACUCCGUGCCAGCAGCCGCGGUAAUACGGAGGGUGCGAGCGUUAAUCGGAAUUACUGGGCGUAAAGCGCGCGUAGGCGGUCUGAUAAGCCGGUUGUGAAAGCCCCGGGCUCAACCUGGGAACGGCAUCCGGAACUGUCAGGCUAGAGUGCAGGAGAGGAAGGUAGAAUUCCCGGUGUAGCGGUGAAAUGCGUAGAGAUCGGGAGGAAUACCAGCGGCGAAGGCGGCCUUCUGGACUGACACUGACGCUGAGGUGCGAAAGCGUGGGUAGCAAACAGGAUUAGAUACCCUAGUAGUC
RNAcentral lists this ribosomal RNA (465 nucleotides) under Vreelandella stevensii. Its description in RNAcentral is "partial 16S ribosomal RNA". It matches the Rfam family "Bacterial small subunit ribosomal RNA", at positions 338 to 795 of the family's 1533-position model. The record is from RNAcentral. Lineage: Bacteria; Pseudomonadati; Pseudomonadota; Gammaproteobacteria; Oceanospirillales; Halomonadaceae.